GUCCAAAAAAAUGAAAAUUAGGUAAAGGUCAAAGGUCAAGGUCAUAUUCUAAAUUUUGAUUUUGGCAUAUUUUCACUAAUUUUCAUUAACCUUAUAAGAUACCGACAAAUUAUUUUUACUAAAUUGUUAGUUGCGACAUGUCGUAACUUAUAUAUUUUGGUUAAAAGGGUGUGUAGACAUAAAAUGGGAGUUUUUGCCCCUCCUAUAUUAAGAAUUAAACGUAAAGUGAUAUAACUCAUUAACUAUACAUAUUACAGACCUAGGGUCUUUUUAUUUGGGGUCCCUGGUUUAUGACCUUGAAAUAUAGGUCAAGGUCAUCAGUAAAUUUGACGUUCUAGAUUUUGACCUUUGCUCAAAAUUCAUAUUUAUACAUCAUUAAGCCAUAGGAACUGACAUUUUCAACUGAAUUUUAAUAUUUUCAUAUCAAAAUAGAUCCUUAUUGGUGGAAAGACCUUCAAUUGUUCUCUGAACAAUUGGUUUUUAAUUUAUUU
Molecule: long non-coding RNA, 491 nt
Filed under: Mytilus galloprovincialis (Mediterranean mussel)
Lineage: Eukaryota; Metazoa; Mollusca; Bivalvia; Mytilida; Mytilidae
Source: RNAcentral